Brassica rapa (field mustard) is the source of this 5014-nucleotide long non-coding RNA. RefSeq lists it as uncharacterized. NCBI's taxonomy places the organism in Eukaryota, Viridiplantae, Streptophyta, Magnoliopsida, Brassicales, Brassicaceae. The record is from RefSeq and is a predicted model, not a curated record.
AAUUAAAAUAUUGUUUUAAUGCAUAUUUCAUCCUUCGCUAACAUAUGAUGAAGGUCAAAGAGGUUUGAAACUUUUUUUGUCUAUGUUUUUCUAGAGAAUAGUGAUUUUAUUGUGGUUAGUCCACCAAUUUAUGGAGUAUUAUGAAGUUUUACUAAAUUAAUUGACAAAAAAUUAAAACGAUGCGCAUGUACCAUGAAAGAGAGUUUAAUAUACAUUAAUACCUCUAGUAUAGGAUGAUGGUCAAAGAAGAUUUUGAACCUUUGUUGUUUUCGUUUCUCUAGAUAAUAAGGAUUUUACAGUGGUUAUCCACUGAUUUAUGCACCAAUUUAUUGAGUAUUAUGAAGUUUUACUAAAUUAAUUGACAAAAAAUUAAAACGAUGCUCAUGUACCAUGAAAGAGAGUUUAAUAUACAUUAAUACCUCUAGUAUAGGAUGAUGGUCAAAGAAGAUUUUGAACCUUUGUUGUUUUCGUUUCUCUAGAUAAUAAGGAUUUUACAGUGGUUAUCCACUGAUUUAUGCAUUAUAUGAAACUCAAGUUUUAUUAAAUUAAUUGUUAAUUUUAGAAUGAUGCACAUGUAUUAUAAAAGAGAGUUUAGCAUAUAUUAAUACAAAUGUAGAACGGGAUUAGAAAAUUUUAAUCAAAACUAAAGAAUAUAAGAUUCAAUAUAUAAAACAUUUAACGAAGAACUCAAUAUUUUCAUAGGGGGGCGUUAGCCUACAGAUUUUCAGAAAAAUUUAAAAAUAUAAAAAAAUUGUUUUAAUGCAUAGUUGCAUCGCGCACUGACUUAAGAUGAUGGUCAAAGAGAUUUGGAACUUUUGUUGUCUCUGUUUCUCUAGAAAAUAGAGAUUUCAAGUUUUAACGAUUUAGAGUGUAUAUGAAAUUUUAUUAGAUUAAUUGUUAAAAAUUUUCCAUUUACCAUGAAAAAAAGUUUGGCCUACAUUAACAGAAAAUGUGGGUAUAAAUAUUUAAAUGACACUAAAGAAUUUAAACUUCAGUAUCUAGAGCAUUUAUUGAAAAACUUAAUAUUCUUAUAAGGGAUUAACCAUAGAAGAUAAAAAAAAAUGACAAUCUUUUUUUAAUGCAUAGUUGCAUCUUGCACUAAUAUAGAAUGAUGGUCAAAGAAGAUUUGAACCUUUGUUGUGUUCGUUUCUAUAGUGGUUAUCCACUAAUUUAUGCUGAAAUUUUAUUAAAUUAUACUUUGUUUCAAGAGUGUAACAUUUAAGAAAAUCAAAGGUUGACAUAUAUUUGUUUGUUACCAAAAAUGUAAAUUAAAAUUAUUUUUAAUAAUAGGUAUAACUAAAUUACUUAUCUUUUUAAAGUCAAUUUAAAUUAUUUUAAGUAAAAUUAAAAUCCGCCCGACCGAGCGGAUCCAUAUCUUGUUAAAUGAUUUAAGUGGCCAAAAUCACAUGUUUGUAAUGUUUUGUAUUUGAUAUUUAUUUAUAUUUUAAUUAUGUAUUGUGUUUACUAAAGCUGACCAAAAAAUUACUAAUUUAAAUUUUAAAUUUAUAUAUUAAAAUAUAUUUAACCAUGUUUGACCCGGCCGAACCAUUUUGAACCGUGAUUCAAAUGAUUAUCCGAUUCAGCUUUCGUUUUGUUUUUAAAGACAUUGAUUUUGACUAAAGUCCUGUUUUUCUCUUGGGCUUAAAACGACAUCCUACUGUCAGAUGACACCUGACGAUGUGUAUCUUUCCUUCCUACCGUUGGCUCAUAUUCUUGACCGUGCUAACGAGGAAUACUUCUUUCGAAAUGGCGCUCGUCGGCUAUUACCAUGGAGUAUGUUAAUCUCUUAAGCUUCAUAAAUCAUAACCAUAAUCAUCAUCAACUUAUGUAGGGGAUAGAAAAUUAUGAAAAUUGAUUAUGCUGAUGUGUUUUGGUGUGUUAGGAUUUGAAUGCAUUACACGAUGAUAUUCAAGAACUGAAACCAACUUUUAUAGCCGGAGUUCCAAGAGUCUUCGAGAGGAUCUAUGAAGGGAUUCAGAAGGCUCUUCAGGAGCUUAACCCAAGAAGGAGACUCAUCCUCUAUGCUCUUUAUAAAUAGUAAGCUUCACUUACAAAUAGGAGACAUAGGUGAGAUUCUUCCAAACGGAGUACUCAGGAUCAUCGACCGUAAGAAGAAUCUGAUCAAACUCUCACAAGGAGAAUAUGUUGCUCUUGAGCAUUUGGAAAGCAUCUACGGACAAAACGCGAUUGUCCAAGAUGUGAGUUUUCCAACUCUUUCUUGGUCUGCAAGUAUCUUUUAGGAUUUUCUUCAAUUAAUUUUUUUGAUCGAUAAAUUCUCAUCAGAUAUGGGUUUAUGAACAAACCUUGUUCUUCUCUGCCGUGAUUGUUCCAAAUCCAGAAACCGUGAACCGGUGGGCUAAUGACUUCGGCUUUACUAAACCAUUCGAAGAACUCUGUUCUAUCUCGGAGCUACAAGAACACAUCCUCUUAGAACUGAAGUCCACGGCAGAGAAGAACAAGGUUUGUUUGACGAUGUUGUCUAAAACCAUAAUUCUUCUAGAGAUUUCUCUAAAUAAUACUACUAUUAUAUAAUGUUAUUUUGUGGAUGUGAAAAAAAUGAUACUAAUAGCUAAGCAAGUUUGAGUACAUUAAAGCGGUGACGGUGGAGGCAAAACCUUUCGACAUUGAGAGAGGCUUCGUGACCGCGACGCUCAAGAACCAGAGGAAAAAUCUUCUCAAGUUCUACAGGUAGAAAUCGAAGAAAUGUACCGUAUAUUGGCGUCAAAGAGGAGCUGAAACUGUUGCGAUAUGUGGGCAACUAAUAAAUAAUUACGCAUAUAACAAAAAAAAACGAACAUUAUAUAUGCUUUCUAUAAUAAUUUAUUUUAUGUUGUAUAUACAUACAACAUAAUUGUUAGUUUUUUAAUGUAAUAAUAAAUUUUAUGACUCUAGCUAUUUACUGUCGUGGAUACUUUACCUGUUCUGAUACAAGUUUACGUGAAUAAAAAUCAUUAUAAGAAGAAUUAAAAUGGAUUGGACCACUUAUAAGAGCCAUAACAAGAAGGCUCGAUGAUCAAUAAAACUUGCGCUCGAUUCAAAAAGACAAAACCCACUGUCCGGAUUGGUACAUCUUGAGUUUACUUUACUAUAUCGAAUCCCAAUAUUCAUGUUACGAAUCUUUUUUUUUUGCUAAGUAUUCGUGUUACGAAUCUUACAGAUGAGCAAAUGUUGUAAGUUGUAGCUUCCUUGAACCAAUGGGUCUCUUUAAGUUUGUCUUUUAGUCGUUCACUUUUAAGCCAUCAAGAGUUUAAGUACUUUUGCUUUCGGUUGCAGUCGUGGCCUUGUUUCGGACAAUGAUUGUGUACCUUCGGUUUGGGAUUAUCACUCACCGUAAAGGUCAAUACAGACACGCUAAAGCCAAUGGCAUUGCUAUGCACUCACUAGACAAAAAGACAAAAAGUAGUAUUACCUCAUAAGAUUGUUUUCUUUUCUUGCUUCCUUCGUCUUUUCUAUUGAACAUUUUCUCUCUUUCUCACACACACACAUGGCUGCAAAAGUAACAAACAGACGAAGAAGAAAAAGUUGAAUUUGCAUGGUAACUUGUUUCUCUGCUUUUCACCUUUUGUAUAUUUCUUUGUGGGAUUUGGUUUUCUACCUUUUUCCAACAAGUCUACGCACUUAGGGGACAACACAAACUUCGAUUUUAUUGACUAAUUGCUAUGUUUCAAGUAUUGGAUCCACGGUUCAACGUGGGUUUACGUUUUUCUUCUCAAUAUAUUUUACAAGGACAAAAAAUUAGGUUCUUUAAAUUAUUUAUUUUGUAUAAGUAUCCUCUGAAAUAUAAACACAUGAAAAAAAAAACAAUGAAUUAUUCACAGGUACAUGUACAUUUUAGAAGAAAAAAGGAUAAAACAAAACAUCAAUCAAAUCGUAAUAGUAGAUUGUCACACAGAUUUUGAAAGCCUUGAAGUAAGAAUGAAAUUCUAAGCUAGGAACAACUCCAACCAUUACAUCCAGUUCAGUGUUUUGGUAUUGAAUUAAUUUUCAUCUCUAACCACAAUACUAAAUUCUACACCAAAAUUAGUAUAUAUUAGUAGUAUUUCAAUUUUAACAUUUUGAUAUAUUAAUUAUUUAUAAUUGACCAAUGAUAUUUUAUAGCAUUUAAAUUUUAUGUUUAUUUAUUAAAAUUUGAUAACUUUAUAUUAUUAUUAUUUUAUUUUACCUAGUUUAUAUAUUAAUUUAUUUAUUUUAUGUAAAAUAUUUUUUAAAAUUAUAAUAUUUUAUAUUUAAAAAUGUAACUUACAUAAUAAAUGCUUAACAGUUUGGAAAUUAUAAUUAAAAUAUAAAAUAGCAUGAUAUAUUUAUUUUAAAAUAAUUAAAACUAUAAUAAUAAAAAUUAUACAUAUAAAUAAAAUAAUAAAGUUGUCAAAAAAAAUAAUAAUAAAAUAUAUCAUUUUAGUAUUUGAUAUGAUGAAUAUUAUUACACCAAAUUUGGUGAGAUAAUGUCAUUUUAAUAUUUUCAGAGAUAAAAUUAUAUCAAAUUUGGUAUUUUGAUGUUUCAUUGAAAUUGGUAUCUAAGCAUGUUUAAAUUAACUAGAAGAGAAUUAUCGAGUACUCUUAAUCACAUUUCAUUUCUUUGAUGGUUGUGAAAACACCAGUGAAGAGUGUAAUUUCUCUUUUAUAUUCGUUUUGGAUAUAAAAAUGUUAAAAGGGUAGUAAAUGAAAAUAGCAAACGACAUAACACGGUGCACACGUCUUUUUCUUCACCGUGGUGCAAUCAUGAAACAGCAAGACCAACAAAAGCGGUAAAUAAAACAAAAACAAAAUAAAAAAUUCCGAACGUCGAUCAAACACACAGAAAUUAGUAGGUAGAAGUAGUUGAGUUUAUGUUUCCAACUUCGCAUUAAUUUAAGUUCAAAAAAAAAAAAAAAAAACUUCGCAUUAAUUUCCUCUUUAGUUAUCUUGCUUAAGUGAAAGUUAAUUAUGCAGAUUCCAAGACAAAAAAAGAUGAAGCGAGACAAUGAAUAAAAAUCCUAACAACAUUAAUUGACGCUGUCUUUGAGUAGUGUUAGAG